GACGAACGCUGGCGGCGUGCUUAACACAUGCAAGUCGAACGGAAAGGCCCUGCUUUUGUGGGGUGCUCGAGUGGCGAACGGGUGAGUAACACGUGAGUAACCUGCCCUUGACUUUGGGAUAACUUCAGGAAACUGGGGCUAAUACCGGAUAGGAGCUCCUGCUGCAUGGUGGGGGUUGGAAAGUUUCGGCGGUUGGGGAUGGACUCGCGGCUUAUCAGCUUGUUGGUGGGGUAGUGGCUUACCAAGGCUUUGACGGGUAGCCGGCCUGAGAGGGUGACCGGUCACAUUGGGACUGAGAUACGGCCCAGACUCCUACGGGAGGCAGCAGUGGGGAAUAUUGCACAAUGGGCGGAAGCCUGGUGCAGCAACGCCGCGUGCGGGAUGACGGCCUUCGGGUUGUAAACCGCUUUCGCCUGUGACGAAGCGUGAGUGACGGUAAUGGGUAAAGAAGCACCGGCUAACUACGUG
This 468-nucleotide ribosomal RNA is filed under the name uncultured bacterium. Its description in RNAcentral is "partial 16S ribosomal RNA". It matches the Rfam family "Bacterial small subunit ribosomal RNA", at positions 28 to 507 of the family's 1533-position model. The record is from RNAcentral.